AUACGUGCCUGGCAGGGGAGAUACCAUAAUCAUGAAGGUGGUUUUCCCGGGUUGAGGCUUUCCCAGGUUGUGCUGACCCCUGUGAUUUCUCCAAAUGUGGGAAGCUCAACUGCAUAAUAUGUGGUAGUGGGGGACUUGUGUUUGCACUUUCCCUUG
Molecule: small nuclear RNA, 156 nt
Organism: Otolemur garnettii (small-eared galago)
Lineage: Eukaryota; Metazoa; Chordata; Mammalia; Primates; Galagidae
Gene: U1
Rfam family: U1 spliceosomal RNA
About the family: U1 is a small nuclear RNA (snRNA) component of the spliceosome (involved in pre-mRNA splicing).
Source: Ensembl